This is a small nuclear RNA of Pteropus vampyrus (large flying fox), 107 nucleotides long. The record is from Ensembl. Lineage: Eukaryota; Metazoa; Chordata; Mammalia; Chiroptera; Pteropodidae.
GUGCUCCCUUUAGCAACACACGCACUAAAAUUAGAAUAAUAAAGAGAAUAUUAGCACGGGCCCUGCACAAAGAUGAUAUGCAAAUUCAUGAAGUGUUCCAGAUUUUU